This 478-nucleotide ribosomal RNA is filed under the name uncultured Bordetella sp. Its description in RNAcentral is "bacterial SSU rRNA". It matches the Rfam family "Bacterial small subunit ribosomal RNA", at positions 505 to 987 of the family's 1533-position model. The record is from RNAcentral. Lineage: Bacteria; Pseudomonadati; Pseudomonadota; Betaproteobacteria; Burkholderiales; Alcaligenaceae.
GUGCCAGCCGCUGCGGUAAUACGUAGGGUGCAAGCGUUAAUCGGAAUUACUGGGCGUAAAGCGUGCGCAGGCGGUUCGGAAGGAAAGAUGUGAAAUCCCAGGGCUUAACCUUGGAACUGCAUUUUUAACUACCGGGCUAGAGUGUGUCAGAGGGAGGUGGAAUUCCGCGUGUAGCAGUGAAAUGCGUAGAUAUGCGGAGGAACACCGAUGGCGAAGGCAGCCUCCUGGGAUAACACUGACGCUCAUGCACGAAAGCGUGGGGAGCAAACAGGAUUAGAUACCCUGGUAGUCCACGCCCUAAACGAUGUCAACUAGCUGUUGGGCCUUCGGCUUGGUAGCGCAGCUAACGCGUGAAGUUGACCGCCUGGGGAGUACGGUCGCAAGAUUAAAACUCAAAGGAAUUGACGGGACCCGCACAAGCGGUGGAUGAUGUGGAUUAAUUCGAUGCAACGACGAAAACCUUACCUACCUUAGACAU